Long non-coding RNA from Bactrocera tryoni, 196 nucleotides. RefSeq lists it as uncharacterized. The record is from RefSeq and is a predicted model, not a curated record. The transcript is spliced from 2 exons. Lineage: Eukaryota; Metazoa; Arthropoda; Insecta; Diptera; Tephritidae.
ACAAAAAAAUAAAUCGGGCGCAAAAGGUAAAAACCCUAAACAAUUACACAAACAAAAAAAAAACGAAACAAGCAAAGUGCGAGAACGAUGGUGAAGUAAAACAAUAUCCAGUGCAGCGGUAGAAUGAGCAGACAAAUAUGUGAACAGAGUGGAGAGAAACAAAAACAAAGUGCAACAGCAAACAGUUCCAAAAAAA